Ornithorhynchus anatinus (platypus) is the source of this 133-nucleotide small nucleolar RNA. Lineage: Eukaryota; Metazoa; Chordata; Mammalia; Monotremata; Ornithorhynchidae. The record is from RefSeq and is a predicted model, not a curated record.
UUCCUCUCAGGGUCAAACCUGGAGAGUUCCCAGUAUUCUACCAGUCUCGACUAUAGGAGGGAGAGUCAGGCAGAGGCAUUUCUAUUCCUAGCUCGGGCAGUGGCUAGCGAGUGGAAGGCAAUCUGCUGCAAGU